Molecule: small nucleolar RNA, 125 nt
Filed under: Hucho hucho (huchen)
Lineage: Eukaryota; Metazoa; Chordata; Actinopteri; Salmoniformes; Salmonidae
Source: RNAcentral
GCCAGUUGGAACUUGUGAGUCCCUCCCUAUGGCUUCAUAGGCCAAGCUACAGCUGUGAAUGCGUGUUAUAACUGGGGUUUCUUGGCGCUUCCACCAAGUCUCUCUUUUAAAAGCAAUUCACAGUU